UNUGACUUGAGUGCAGAAGGGGAGAGUGGAAUUCCAUGUGUAGCGGUGAAAUGCGUAGAUAUAUGGAGGAACACCAGUGGCGAAAGCGGCUCUCUGGUCUGUCACUGACGCUGAGGCUCGAAAGCGUGGGUAGCGAACAGGAUUAGAUACCCUGGUAGUCCACGCCGUAAACGAUGAGUGCUAGGUGUUAGGCCCUUUCCGGGGCUUAGUGCCGGAGCUAACGCAAUAAGCACUCCGCCUGGGGAGUACGACCGCAAGGUUGAAACUCAAAGGAAUUGACGGGGGCCCGCACAAGCGGUGGAGCAUGUGGUUUAAUUCGAAGCAACGCGAAGAACCUUACCAGGUCUUGACAUCCCGAUGCUAUUCUUAGAGAUAGGAAGUUACUUCGGUACAUCGGAGACAGGUGGUGCAUGGUUGUCGUCAGCUCGUGUCGUGAGAUGUUGGGUUAAGUCCCGCAACGAGCGCAACCCUUAUUGUUAGUUGCCAUCAUUAAGUUGGGCACUCUAGCGAGACUGCCGGUAAUAAACCGGAGGAAGGUGGGGAUGACGUCAAAUCAUCAUGCCCCUUAUGACCUGGGCUACACACGUGCUACAAUGGUCGGUACGACGAGUUGCGAGCCGGUGACGGCAAGCUAAUCUCUGAAAGCCGAUCUCAGUUCGGAUUGGAGGCUGCAACUCGCCUCCAUGAAGUCGGAAUCGCUAGUAAUCGCGGAUCAGCACGCCGCGGUGAAUACGUUCCCGGGCCUUGUACACACCGCCCGUCACACCACGAGAGUUUGUAACACCCGAAGUCGG
This 794-nucleotide ribosomal RNA is filed under the name uncultured bacterium. Its description in RNAcentral is "bacterial SSU rRNA". It matches the Rfam family "Bacterial small subunit ribosomal RNA", at positions 636 to 1430 of the family's 1533-position model. The record is from RNAcentral.